UGCUGACGGAGGUCACAGCCAGCCACAGUGUCAUUCCAGAAGCUUCUCCUCCGCAGCAGGUACUCACUGACCCCAGAGGAAGAUUUCUCCAAUGUCAGAACCCUGAAAAUGAGAUGCUGAAAUCAACCAGAGUGACUUGGGGGGAAAUGUGUUUUUUUCAAGUGACUGAAGGAAUCAAAUCAGAAAACAAGAACAAGAAAGAACAUGGGAACUAAUGCAGAAUCAACGGAAACCAUUGACUCUUCUCCUUGUCCCUGCCUGACAUGGAAAGUAAUGUAGAAACAAUCAAGCUGCUUGUCUUCAGUCUCUAAAACCAACCUCCUCUGCAAGCGUUCCUCAGAACACUUAUUCCAUUUCAGGAAAUCAAAUGUUGCCUGAUUCUAGAAUUACAAACAAAUCCAAUUAAAACCUUUAAAUUUA
Molecule: long non-coding RNA, 420 nt
Organism: Fukomys damarensis (Damara mole-rat)
Lineage: Eukaryota; Metazoa; Chordata; Mammalia; Rodentia; Bathyergidae
Exons: 2
Source: RefSeq, a predicted model, not a curated record